AUAUGCUCUUCCCUGAACUCUGUUGCAUACCAUCAGAACCUUUAAAAUAUGCCCCCCUCCAUCAACAGUUACACAUUGUCUCUGGGUAAGCAUCUCACUGUACUUGGCACUGGUGAGGCCUCAGCUGGUGUACUGUGGCCAGUUCUGGGCUCCACACUUUAAGAAAGAUCUGGACAAAUUGGAGAAAGUCCAGAAGAGAGCAACUAAAGGACAAAAGGUUUAGAAAAUGUACUGAGAGAGAGCACAGGGAGUAAGAGGAAGCAAGAGAGCUGUCCGCAGGAGACUUAAAGCCUGGAGCAGACAUGCUAAAUGAGCUAACCAGAGACACCUGAUGUGGGGAGGGAACUGCAAGCAGCUGUCUCCUUACAAGAGAGCUGAAGUAGUUGUUUGGGAGAACUGACCCCAGGAAGUUUACAAAGAAGUCUUCUCUGAGCAGGAUAGCUGUAAGCCAAAGCCAGGUUCUGAGGUUUUGGUCCCAGAUUGAAAUCCCGAGAAUUCUUCUUUCAAUCUGUGAUUGAGUCCCCAGUGAAGUGAUCAGACAGCAAAGUGGAUUGCAGGACAUCAUUGUGGGAAGCAGGUACAGUAAAAUGCAAUGGGCCAGGCAUAUAACUAGGCUCACUGACAAUCAAUGAACUACAGCUGCUGCCGAAUGGUACCCACAGGAACUGAAAUGACCACUCGACCAACCUCCAAAGAGAUGGGAAGAUUUUAUCGUGAAAAGACAUGGCCGCACAUGGAGAAGAAUGGCCAGGAUAAGAGAAGAAUGGAAGAUGUGUUGUGAUCGGUGCAAUCUAUAUGAGGGUUGAAGGAAUGAUCGAGCAAGGUGAUCAAGGUGCAGUGGAUCCCACGGGCUGGCACAAUGCCCAGGACCUUCCACUCUCCGGCUGAUUUAGAGGCUUUGAGGAGAAGCACUGGAGAGUCCAGACAACUGUUGGAUUUCGUCGCUGGCAAGGAGGCCCUGUGGGAUGAUGGACACCAGGAAUGCAGGAUGGCAGGAAUGGUGGUGAACGGUCUCCUUUUCCUCAAUCUCACAGCGGGACCGAUGGUGUUCUUCACUCUUCAGCUCUGGAGCACUGUGAAGACCCGACCGUGUACGUACUGUCGCUGGGGUGGAUAGCCCUGCAGAGGCCCUGAACAAGUCCUUAUAUCACUUUUGUGGCGGGAAAAGUUCUGAGGAGAUGGAACACUGAGGGCUGGUUUUGGCGGGAAAAAAUGGUUUUGACUGGCUUGAGCCUGUGUCUUGAUGGUAAACAAGUCCACUCUCAGAGAUGGAGUCCAAGGGUCAAUAGUUCAUAUGCUCCAUAUUGGAUCUUAUUUUAAAGCCAGUGAUUUACUUCAUAAACACCUUAUUAAACAACUAAUUGAACAUAUUAAACAGUUUAUACUUCUUACACCUAGCACCAUGUAGGGAAAUUACUGAUGAACCCAGGGAGCUAAGCAGCACAUACCUCCUUCUCAGCUGCCCUGGAACCUGCAUGGUGCAUAAUAAGCAAAAACUUCCCCUGCAAACCCCACAACUGGUGUCUGGCAGCCGCAGGUGCACUAGGGGAGGCUUAGCUUUUUUUUAACGGGAGUUUUUGUAGGUAUUUGGAACUCCCGUAUUUGUCACUAACUAGAACUGAACUGAGCAGAUGGCAAGGAAUGACCACAUCCCUCCACUGCUGAGAGAGAUAUUUGGAGGUGUGGAAAAGAAAGACUAAGACCCCACUAGUGUGGAAAUCUGGAUACAGGUUUCCCUCUAGCAAAUGACUGCUGAAAAGCUAAAAUUCAGAAAAGUGAUUAAAAGAAAGCCAAGAUUAAAAAUCAGAGCGAGUCAAACAGCCUCUUUCAGGGGAAGGUGCCUUUUAUGGAUACUGUGUGGGGAGCACAGCCCCAGAUUAUUUAGCUUGAGAAAAGAUACAAAACAAGGGUAAUGAUAUCUGUAUAAUACUGGAUACCAGCCAGGUGGCUCAUCAUGGAUAUUAUAAAUGAACAAGUCUAUUGGGUUGCCUUGAGUUGAAGAAUUGUUGCCUACAGUAUGUUCACAAUGAUCAUAUACUACAUGAACUUGGUGAUCUUUCCUGACUAGUUCCUUUUGAAAAGACAGGAAUAUUUGGUCCCUACGUCUGCAUUGGCUCUAAUGGUAAGAAGGUGCUAGUGAGCUGUUGUCCAUAAUCCCAUGCAUAUGCACAAAGAGGAAGAAACUUUUAAAUACUUAAGUACAACUGGAAUCACAACAAGUUCCUGCCCCGGUUCCACAUUGGGUGGUAUUUGUACAGUUCCAUAGGUGUGGAUAACACUUCACAGAUAUAUAAAAAAGGCAGUCCCUGCCCUGAGGAAUGUACAAUCUAACUUGGAUUGUUAUAGACAAAAUGGGAGUUGUUGGAGAGCAGGAAGGAACUGAAGGGCAUGUAAUUUAGAUUGUUAGGUUAGGCUCAUUUAUUAUUGCAAGGGUUUUCUAAGAAGAUCAUGAAAGAAGAUCAUGGAAAAUUCCUAAUUCUGAUGUAGGAGCAGAAGCAUGGGCAGCACUGGGCGGCAUGGUCAGUUGAUUUUCUCAUGUAGUUUUAACUAGACUUUUCCACUUCCUCCCUGAAUCUGAUGUCAUUUUUCUACAUGCUGUUAAACAGUUGCUACCUUUGUCUCCAGGGGAGGCUGCAUAUCAGUGUGGGUGAAACAGUUCCUUUAUGUCUUGUUAGUAAAGCAUUUUGGGAUCCUUCUGGAUGAAAGGCACUACAGAAGUGUAAGAUAUUAUUUUUAUUUUAGGUGAUUGAACUACAGAUGGUGGGUGUGACAAAGAAAUAAGAAAUCCGAAGAAGUGAGCUGCAGCUCACGAAAGCGCAUGCUAAAAUAAAUUUGUUAGUCUUUA
This is a long non-coding RNA of Mauremys mutica (yellowpond turtle), 2845 nucleotides long. RefSeq lists it as uncharacterized. The transcript has 3 exons. Lineage: Eukaryota; Metazoa; Chordata; Testudines; Geoemydidae. The record is from RefSeq and is a predicted model, not a curated record.